RNAcentral lists this ribosomal RNA (604 nucleotides) under Bacillus zhangzhouensis. RNAcentral's name for it is "bacterial SSU rRNA". It matches the Rfam family "Bacterial small subunit ribosomal RNA", at positions 45 to 634 of the family's 1533-position model. Lineage: Bacteria; Bacillati; Bacillota; Bacilli; Caryophanales; Bacillaceae. The record is from RNAcentral.
UGCUAUACAUGCAAGUCGAGCGGACAGAAGGGAGCUUGCUCCCGGAUGUUAGCGGCGGACGGGUGAGUAACACGUGGGUAACCUGCCUGUAAGACUGGGAUAACUCCGGGAAACCGGAGCUAAUACCGGAUAGUUCCUUGAACCGCAUGGUUCAAGGAUGAAAGACGGUUUCGGCUGUCACUUACAGAUGGACCCGCGGCGCAUUAGCUAGUUGGUGGGGUAAUGGCUCACCAAGGCGACGAUGCGUAGCCGACCUGAGAGGGUGAUCGGCCACACUGGGACUGAGACACGGCCCAGACUCCUACGGGAGGCAGCAGUAGGGAAUCUUCCGCAAUGGACGAAAGUCUGACGGAGCAACGCCGCGUGAGUGAUGAAGGUUUUCGGAUCGUAAAGCUCUGUUGUUAGGGAAGAACAAGUGCGAGAGUAACUGCUCGCACCUUGACGGUACCUAACCAGAAAGCCACGGCUAACUACGUGCCAGCAGCCGCGGUAAUACGUAGGUGGCAAGCGUUGUCCGGAAUUAUUGGGCGUAAAGGGCUCGCAGGCGGUUUCUUAAGUCUGAUGUGAAAGCCCCCGGCUCAACCGGGGAGGGUCAUUGGAAACU